RNAcentral lists this long non-coding RNA (255 nucleotides) under Physcomitrium patens. RNAcentral describes it as "long non-coding RNA (PPAT_LNC003716)". Lineage: Eukaryota; Viridiplantae; Streptophyta; Bryopsida; Funariales; Funariaceae. The record is from RNAcentral.
AGCUCAAGAUACAACCACUAGUAAAUCAGAUCACUUACUACCUUUAGAUUGCAUGCAUUGACUUCAAAGUCCAAUAACUCCUUCACUUCAACUUAGAAUCUAGUAAGCAGUAUAUGAAAAGUGUAGCCGUAAAAGUGUUGUCUCUAGUCGCGGUCGCCGAUCCUCAAUUGCUAUGUGUACGCGUGUGUUAUGCUAAAAAGAGUGACAGUAGCUCUCAAAUCAACACCUUAACUUUGAGCGCCUAUAUCUCCUUCA